GACGAACGCUGGCGGCGUGCCUAAUACAUGCAAGUCGAGCGAAGUUUUUCUGGUGCUUGCACUAGAAAAACUUAGCGGCGAACGGGUGAGUAACACGUAAAGAACCUGCCUCAUAGACUGGGACAACUAUUGGAAACGAUAGCUAAUACCGGAUAACAGUAUUUCUCGCAUGAGAGAUAUUUAAAAGUUGGUUAUGCUAACACUAUGAGAUGGCUUUGCGGUGCAUUAGCUAGUUGGUGGGGUAAAGGCCCACCAAGGCGACGAUGCAUAGCCGACCUGAGAGGGUGAUCGGCCACACUGGGACUGAGACACGGCCCAGACUCCUACGGGAGGCAGCAGUAGGGAAUCUUCCGCAAUGGGCGAAAGCCUGACGGAGCAACGCCGCGUGAGUGAAGAAGGAUUUCGGUUCGUAAAGCUCUGCUGUUAGGGAAGAAUGGAUAUGUAGUAACUAUACACGUAAGAGACGGUACCUAACCAGAAAGCCACGGCUAACUACGUG
This 499-nucleotide ribosomal RNA is filed under the name uncultured bacterium. RNAcentral describes it as "partial 16S ribosomal RNA". It matches the Rfam family "Bacterial small subunit ribosomal RNA", at positions 28 to 507 of the family's 1533-position model. The record is from RNAcentral.